Molecule: ribosomal RNA, 254 nt
Filed under: uncultured bacterium
Lineage: Bacteria
Description: partial 16S ribosomal RNA
Rfam family: Bacterial small subunit ribosomal RNA
Source: RNAcentral
UACGUAGGCAGCGAGCGUCGUUCGGAGUUACUGGGCGUAAAGGGUGUGUAGGCGGUUCUUUAAGUUUGGUGUGAAAUCUCCCGGCUCAACCGGGAGGGUGCGCCGAAUACUGAGGGACUUCGAGUGCGGGAGAGGAAAGUGGAAUUCCUGGUGUAGCGGUGAAAUGCGUAGAUAUCAGGAGGAACACCGGUGGUGUAGACGGCUUUCUGGACCGUAACUGACGCUGAGACACGAAAGCGUGGGUAGCAAACAGG